AUUGAACGCUGGCGGCAUGCCUUACACAUGCAAGUCGAACGGCAGCACGGGGGGCAACCCUGGUGGCGAGUGGCGAACGGGUGAGUAACACAUCGGAACGUGUCCUGUUGUGGGGGAUAACCAGUCGAAAGACUGGCUAAUACCGCAUGAGCUGGAGACAGGAAAGCGGGGGACCUGAAAGGGCCUCGUGCGAUUGGAGCGGCCGAUGUCCGAUUAGCUAGUUGGUGGGGAAAGGCCCACCAAGGCGACGAUCGGUAGCUGGCCUGAGAGGAUGAUCAGCCACACUGGGACUGAGACACGGCCCAGACUCCUACGGGAGGCAGCAGUGGGGAAUUUUGGACAAUGGGGGCAACCCUGAUCCAGCCAUGCCGCGUGAGUGAAGAAGGCCUGGUGUAA
RNAcentral lists this ribosomal RNA (396 nucleotides) under uncultured bacterium. Its description in RNAcentral is "bacterial SSU rRNA". It matches the Rfam family "Bacterial small subunit ribosomal RNA", at positions 29 to 428 of the family's 1533-position model. The record is from RNAcentral.